This 813-nucleotide long non-coding RNA is filed under the name Homo sapiens (human). Its description in RNAcentral is "HSALNT0301838". Lineage: Eukaryota; Metazoa; Chordata; Mammalia; Primates; Hominidae. The record is from RNAcentral.
UGACAGUCCUGAGUCUAGACUUGUCUGAGAGAGACAGCCUGGGCCAGCCCUACCAGGCCUGCCUUGCCCAACCUCCAUACCUCCUCCUGCAGCAAACGCAUCUCCUGAAAAAUAGCCAGAAGCUUCCUGCAGAGCCAAAGACUUGGGGGGAAUUUCACUGUGAGGUUACACUCUUCAGUUUCCUCGGGAGGAAUGCAGCCUGUUCGGAAGGUGUUCAUCCUACCGGUUUCAGCAGAGCACCUGGUAAUGCUGACAUACAUGUGUGUUUAGAAGGAGCCUUUUCUUUCCCAUCAUUCUCUCCACCCCCUCCUGCACUUCGCUUCUGCCCUACAUAUACAUAGACUUAAUCUAACAUCGCAACUGCCACAGGGGAAAGCGAAUGUGCAGAGAGACUGUUCUAGAUAAAGUUGUUCCUUUUAGUUUCAGCAAAGCUGCCCUCAAGCAGAAUUCUGACUGCUGUGCUGAUUCAAGGUCUCUUCCUUCAGUUGCCAACUCAGAUGCAAGAUCUGGACUUUCUUGCUUGGAUGUACAGCCCACAGGGAGCUGAAGGACUCUCAAAUAUGUCUCCCUCAUGGCAGGCAAGCUGGCACUGUGGAGGCCACAAUUUUUUCCCUUCAAAUUGCUACGGCAUCUGAAAUUCUCGUUAAUCUUCCAGCGCUUUGAAAAGGAAUAUAGAGGUGCUGUGGGCACCCAUCCCAUGGCUCUAGGGGCCAAGGACAUCUUCCCAGAGCAGCUGACUUUGAACAGAGUUUUGGAGGAAUGGUAAUUUACCAUGCAGAUGAGAAAGAAGACUAUUCUCGGGAGGCAACAUGC